CUCUGGGCAUAUCCAUCUAGCACCCAAAAUGCACGCCCUCCCAUGUGUUCCCCUGAGGUGUCCAAACAACACCUUGGACAAAAACGAAUUCAUUCAGGACAAAACAGGAAACCCCUCCUUUGUCCCAAAGUAAUCUGACAUCUGGAAAGACCCGGGUAUUUGCAGCUGCAGCUUUCCAGUCAACAUUCAGUUAUGAAGAUCCCUUACUUUGUUUUUGCUGUUGUUGGAUCCUGGCUCUUGGCCACUCCAGGGCUUGCUGCAGAUGUGAACAGUGAAGCUGAAUGUAAGGAAGCAAAUGGGUUUUGCCGAGAAUUCUACUGUAUAACUGGUUCCACGAAAAUUGGCAAAUGUGGAAAAACAGUUUGCUGCAAAAGCAACAUUUCUUUGUGAAAUUUCAACAGCUGGGAGAAUUCCCCAGUUAUGUGUGGAACCAUCCUGCAAAAGGGAACACCUUGAUUGGUCUCUAAAGAACAUCAACAUCUUGCAUCAUCUUCAGAAGAUUAGCUCUUCCUCUGGGAAAAAAUGCCCAUUAUGUCUGAAUAAAGUCAUAAUGGUUUGCUAAACUAUUUGUAUGUGCUGCCAUGGAUGCUGUUAUGAAUAAUAUGAUUUUUCUCUUACUACAUUUAGUGCUCUCUUUCAGAGUCUGCCCAUCUGCCUCCAAUUUGCUAUAAAGGAUACUAUUCUACAUUUCCCAUAUAAAUUAUGUGUGUUGAAGCAUUUAUGUGUAUCCCUGUGCAAGGUUGGCUGGUGAUCUAUCAAAUAAAUAAAUUGAAUUGCA
This is an RNA transcript of Anolis carolinensis (green anole), 778 nucleotides long. It is a transcript of the gene named gallinacin-8-like, with no coding region annotated. The record is from RefSeq and is a predicted model, not a curated record. The transcript is spliced from 4 exons. NCBI's taxonomy places the organism in Eukaryota, Metazoa, Chordata, Lepidosauria, Squamata, Anolidae.